CCUACGGGAGGCAGCAGUCGAGGAUCUUCGGCAAUGGACGAAAGUCUGACCGAGCAACGCCGCGUGUGCGAUGAAGGCCUUCGGGUUGUAAAGCACUGUCGAGGGGAAACAAGCCGUAAGGUUGAGUGACCCCUGGAGGAAGCACGGGCUAAGUUCGUGCCAGCAGCCGCGGUAAGACGAACCGUGCAAACGUUAUUCGGAAUCACUGGGCUUAAAGGGCGCGUAGGCGGGUAAUCAAGUCAAUGGUGAAAUCCUCCAGCUUAACUGGAGAAGUGCCUUUGAUACUGGUUGUCUAGAGGGAGGUAGGGGCAUGUGGAACUUCAGGUGGAGCGGUGAAAUGCGUAGAUAUCUGAAGGAACGCCAGUGGCGAAAGCGAUGUGCUGGACCUCUUCUGACGCUGAGGCGCGAAAGCUAGGGGAUCAAACGGGAUUAGAUACCCCGGUAGUCCUAGCCCUAAACUAUGGGUACUAGAUUGUGGACUUUCAUGGGUUCACAGUCGAAGCAAAAGUGUUAAGUACCCCGCCUGGGGAGUAUGGUCGCAAGGCUGAAACUCAAAGGAAUUGACGG
RNAcentral lists this ribosomal RNA (567 nucleotides) under uncultured bacterium. Its description in RNAcentral is "bacterial SSU rRNA". It matches the Rfam family "Bacterial small subunit ribosomal RNA", at positions 338 to 916 of the family's 1533-position model. The record is from RNAcentral.